This 233-nucleotide unclassified non-coding RNA is filed under the name fungal sp. Its description in RNAcentral is "partial internal transcribed spacer region". The stretch from base 1 to 46 matches the Rfam family "Eukaryotic small subunit ribosomal RNA", at positions 1786 to 1831 of the family's 1831-position model. The record is from RNAcentral. Lineage: Eukaryota; Fungi.
AAGUCGUAACAAGGUUUCCGUAGGUGAACCUGCGGAAGGAUCAUUAGUGAAAAUACCCUUUGCAUAUGGGUUGCUUCAACCUGUAUCCACCUUUGUGAAUUGUUUUUUUUGUUACAUAGCCUUAAAGAGAAAUCUUUAGGCUUUUUAACAAGCUUGAAAUUUUUGUUUGGCUGAAACUUUUGGUUUACAAAACAAAUCAAAUACAACUUUCAACAACGGAUCUCUUGGCUCCU